GCUGGCGGCAUGCCUCAUACAUGCAAGUCGAACGAGAUCUUCGGAUCUAGUGGCGCACGGGUGAGUAACAUGUGGGAAUCUACCUGAAGGUUCGGAAUAACUGCGGGAAACUGUAGCUAAUACCGGAUGUGUCUGCAAAGAGAAAGAUUUAUCGCCUUCAGAUGAGCCCGCACUAGAUUAGCUAGUUGGUGAGGUAAUUGCUCCACCAAGGCUACGAUCUAUAGCUGAUUUGAGAGGAUGAUCAGCCACACUGGGACUGAGACACGGCCCAGACUCCUACGGGAGGCAGCAGUAGGGAAUAUUGGACAAUGGGGGAAACCCUGAUCCAGCAAUGCCGCGUGAGUGAAGAAGGCCUUCGGGUUGUAAAACUCUUUCAUCAAUGAUGAUAAUGACAUUAGUUGAAGAAGAAGCUCCGGCUAACUUCGUGCCAGCAGCCGCGGUAAUACGAAGGGGGCUAGCGUUGUUCGGAAUCACUGGGCGUAAAGCGUAUGUAGGCGGAUCAAAAAGUUAGAUGUGAAAUCCCUGGGCUCAACCCAGGAACUGCAUUUAAAACUAGUGAUCUAGAAAUUGGUAAGGGUUAGUAGAAUUUCCAGUGUAGAGGUGAAAUUCGUAGAUAUUGGAAAGAAUACCAGAAGCGAAGGCGACUAACUAGGCCAUUUUUGACGCUGAGAUACGAAAGCGUGGGUAGCAAACAGGAUUAGAUACCCUGGUAGUCCACGCAGUAAACGAUGAGUGCUAGUCGCUGGUCCAAUAGGAUCAGUGUCGUAGCUAACGCAUUAAGCACUCCGCCUGGGAAGUACGGU
RNAcentral lists this ribosomal RNA (803 nucleotides) under uncultured Alphaproteobacteria bacterium. RNAcentral describes it as "bacterial SSU rRNA". It matches the Rfam family "Bacterial small subunit ribosomal RNA", at positions 35 to 886 of the family's 1533-position model. The record is from RNAcentral. Lineage: Bacteria; Pseudomonadati; Pseudomonadota; Alphaproteobacteria.